CACAAGCUUGGUCCUGACUUUAGUGUCAGCUUUGAUAAAAUUUAUACAUGCAAGUAUCCGCACCCCCGUGAGAAUGCCCUAUCUUACCGCCUACUGGAUAAUAGGAGCCGAUAUCAGGCACAAUUUUUAGCCCACGACAUCUUGCUCAGCCACACCCCUACGGGCAACCAGCAGUAAUAAACAUUAAGCCAUGAGCGCAAGCUCGACUUAGUUAACAUCAAGAAGGGCCGGUCAAACUCGUGCCAGCCACCGCGGUUAUACGAGAGGCCCAAGUUGACCCAAGCCGGCGUAAAGAGUGGUUAAUGUAGACUAAACUAAAGCCGAACACCUUCAAAGCUGUUAUACGCACUUGAAGACAAGAAGCCCUUUUACGAAAGUGGCUUUAAGCAAUAUGACGCCACGAAAGCUAUGGAACAAACUGGGAUUAGAUACCCCACUAUGCAUAGCCCUAAACACAAAUGGGACCCUACCCCAACCAUUCGCCAGGGAACAACGAGCCCCAGCUUAAAACCCAAAGGACUUGGCGGUGCUUUAGACCCCCCUAGAGGAGCCUGUUCUAGAACCGAUACUCCCCGUUCAACCUCACCCUCUCUUGUUAACCCCGCCUAUAUACCGCCGUCGUCAGCUUACCCUGUGAAGGCUUAACAGUAAGCAAUGUUGGUAAAACCCAAAACGUCAGGUCGAGGUGUAGCGCACGAGGGGGGAAGAAAUGGGCUACAUUUACUGUCACAGUAAACAACGGAUACUGCACUGAAAUGAGCAUUUAAAGGAGGAUUUAGCAGUAAGGGGAGAAUAGAGUGCCCCCCUGAAAACGGCCCUUAAGCGCGCACACACCGCCCGUCACUCUCCCCAAAAUAAUAUAGCAGAUAAAUAAUAAAAGAAGAAAAGCAAGGGGAGGCAAGUCGUAACAUGGUAAGUGUACCGGAAGGUGCACUUGGAAAACUA
Molecule: non-coding RNA, 945 nt
Filed under: Myersina macrostoma (bigmouth shrimpgoby)
Lineage: Eukaryota; Metazoa; Chordata; Actinopteri; Gobiiformes; Gobiidae
Description: 12S rRNA
Rfam family: Bacterial small subunit ribosomal RNA
Source: RNAcentral